GCUACCAUGCAGUCGAGCGGUAGAGAGGUGCUUGCUGCUCUUGAGAGCGGCAGAGGGGUGAGUAAAGCCUAUGACUCUGCCUGGGACUGGGGGAUAACGCUCGGAACCGGACGCUAAUACCGCAACCGUCCGACCGCAAAAAACAGGGGACCUUCAGGCCUUGCCCUAUCACAUGAGCCUAUGUCCGAAUAGCUAUAUGGUGAGGUAAUGGCUCAGCAUCGCCACGAUCCCUAACUGGACUGAGACGAAGAUCAUUCCCACUGGAACUGAAACUCGGACCAGACUCCUACUCCAGGCAGCAGUGGGGAAUAUUGAACAAGGGGCGAAAGCCUGAUCCAGCCAUGCCCCGUGUGUGAGUAAGGUCUUCGGAUUGUAAAGCACUUUAAGUUGGGAGGAAGGGUUGUAGAUUAAUACUCUGCAGUUUUGACAUUGCCGACACAAUAAGAACAGGCUAACUCUGUGCCCGUGCCCGCGGUAAUACUAAGGGUGCAGGCGUUAAUCUUAAUUACUGUUACGUAAAGCGCGCGUGCGUGGUUUGUUAAGUUGGAUGUGAAAUCCCCGGGCUCAACCUGGGAACUGCAUUGAAAACUGACUGACUAGAGUAUGGUAGAGGGUGGUGGAAUUUCAAGUGUAGCGGUGAAAUGCGUAGAGAUCUGGAGGAAUACCGGUGGCGAACGCGGCCCCCUGAACAAAGACUGACGCUCAGGUGCGAAAGCGUGGGGAGCAAACAGGAUAAGAUGCCCUGGUAGUCCACGCCGUAAACGAUGUC
RNAcentral lists this ribosomal RNA (769 nucleotides) under Pseudomonas sp. RNAcentral describes it as "bacterial SSU rRNA". It matches the Rfam family "Bacterial small subunit ribosomal RNA", at positions 48 to 813 of the family's 1533-position model. Lineage: Bacteria; Pseudomonadati; Pseudomonadota; Gammaproteobacteria; Pseudomonadales; Pseudomonadaceae. The record is from RNAcentral.